UACGUAGGGGGCAAGCGUUAUCCGGAUUUACUGGGUGUAAGGGGAGCGUAGACGGCAGGGCAAGUCUGGAGUGAAAGGCGGGGGCUCAACCCCCGGACUGCUCUGGAAACUGCCAGGCUGGAGUGCAGGAGAGGUAAGUGGAAUUCCUAGUGUAGCGGUGAAAUGCGUAGAUAUUAGGAGGAACACCAGUGGCGAAGGCGGCUUACUGGACUGUAACUGACGUUGAGGCUCGAAAGCGUGGGGAGCAAACAGG
This 253-nucleotide ribosomal RNA is filed under the name uncultured bacterium. Its description in RNAcentral is "partial 16S ribosomal RNA". It matches the Rfam family "Bacterial small subunit ribosomal RNA", at positions 524 to 776 of the family's 1533-position model. The record is from RNAcentral.